UACGAAGGUGGCAAGCGUUGUUCGGAUUUACUGGGCGUACAGGGAGCGUAGGCGGUUGGGUAAGCCCUUCGUGAAAUCUCCGGGCCUAACCCGGAAAGUGCGGAGGGGACUGCUCGGCUAGAGGAUGGGAGAGGAGCGCGGAAUUCCCGGUGUAGCGGUGAAAUGCGUAGAUAUCAGGAGGAACACCUGUGGUGUAGACAGCUUACUGGACCACUUCUGACGCUGAGACACGAAAGCGUGGGUAGCAAACAGG
RNAcentral lists this ribosomal RNA (253 nucleotides) under uncultured prokaryote. Its description in RNAcentral is "partial 16S ribosomal RNA". It matches the Rfam family "Bacterial small subunit ribosomal RNA", at positions 524 to 776 of the family's 1533-position model. The record is from RNAcentral.